GAGUACACCCAGCAUGGUGGUUAUGACACUCGGCUUGUAAUCGAGUGGGCUUGGGUUCGAAUCCCGAACA
This 70-nucleotide transfer RNA is filed under the name Trichonephila clavata. RNAcentral describes it as "tRNA-Thr". Lineage: Eukaryota; Metazoa; Arthropoda; Arachnida; Araneae; Nephilidae. The record is from RNAcentral.